CAAUUUCUUCUUUCCUGCCUGCUGAAGACUGACUUCCUCCUGCUGCCAAAGGUUUGCAGUGCUUAUUUAAGGAAUUAUACCUGCUUUGUCUACUAGAGGCAGUCAGCUGAAUCAUCGAGUUCUUGCAGAAGCCUUGAGCUUUAGCACCUAAGGGCCCUGAGACAGUUGUAUUCAACAACCUUGUUGCAUGAAAGAAGGGGAGUUCUGAGGGACAUGGACAUUGCAGACUUUUUCACCAACCAGGAAAACUUUUCAGGCAUCACCCAAGAGGUCCAGCUGAAGAUGUAACAGGUCCUCUAAACUAACUACAAGCUCCUCCACAUUAUCAGGACAAACACAAUUCUAACUCUCAAAAGGCUCUCUUAGGGAAAACCAGCACCAAAGGUCUAGAGUCUGGACGUCUGAGAUCAGGGUGCCAGCACUGUCGAGGUCACAGACUGCAGACCUCCUUGUAUCUUCAAAUGGAGGAAAGAGGACAAGAGAGCUCCUGUGGUCCCUUUUAUCAAGGCAUUUGCAGUGAUACAUCCUAGUGAUGGCAGCAACCGCCCGUCUGGAGCCGCGGUUGGGAAGACGUCGUCUGCAGCAAGGGAGGCGUGGUGGGGCUGUGCCUCUGUGGAGCUGGUGAGGCCGGGAACAGGCAGGCCCCCCGCCCCUAUCAAGUCGCGGGGCAAGAGCCCCUCCCUCCAGAUGCAACUGCAAGGGUGACUCCAGACCUAUACGCCCUAUGGCACUGUAGGCUCGGAAGUGAAUGCACAAGGAAAAUGUUGUACAUUUGCACAUUGGAGUACACUUCAGCCAUAAAAAGAAUGAGAUGCUGUCAUUUGCAACAACAGGGUUGUGCAGUCAUCAGUUAUCUUCAUGGGACGAGUAUGUCCGGAGGGGAGGAAAAUCUGAUAAAAAAUAUUGAAAUUCAAUGAAGGCUUCCACUGCUUAACAAAUGUUACAUAGAAUUCUUCACCGAUGUGAGGAACAUCAGUUUGCAAAAGAAACUCUGCACUUUCAGGGAUAAAAAGACUGAGACUCCAAAUGGUGCUCCUAGUAUUGGUGAAGCUUAGGGAGAGAGCCCAUUGUGUUUCUAUCUAACUGCUCUCAGGAAAAGGUAGAAAAUGUCUCAGAUUCCACAAGAAAGAUAGAAUGUGUGAUAAGAUGACAAUCAGGCUGAAGCCUAGUCAAGAAGAGGGCUCAGAGAAGCUUGACUAAAGUUUCAUGAAGAGAGUCUCUGUCAGUGGUGGGUCUUUGAUUCUCAAGGAAGCUGUCAGAAGCUUCAUCUAACUUCUCUUCCACUCUACUUUCUUCUGGGGAAGAAGUGACCCAACAAUUUGAUCUAAUAUUUGCCUGAUAAUAUUGAACAUCCUUGCAUCCAUUAAAGUUUACUGUUCUAAGACUUAC
RNAcentral lists this long non-coding RNA (1389 nucleotides) under Homo sapiens (human). RNAcentral describes it as "long non-coding RNA NONHSAT216248.1". Lineage: Eukaryota; Metazoa; Chordata; Mammalia; Primates; Hominidae. The record is from RNAcentral.